RNAcentral lists this unclassified non-coding RNA (2311 nucleotides) under Hevea brasiliensis (rubber tree). The record is from RNAcentral. Lineage: Eukaryota; Viridiplantae; Streptophyta; Magnoliopsida; Malpighiales; Euphorbiaceae.
GAUAGCACACGCGCUGUAGCGUCGAGUGAAAAACUUGGCAUCCGCUUCGCUGACUUGGGAAAGCCUCAAACACAAAACAAAACAGGUCACAGUCACACCAUGCGUCGCUGAAAAAGUGACAAACACGGGCGCUUCCCAGGUCAGGACGACACACAACUCUUCACCUGACAGGUCGGACCUUCCGUUCCUUUCUCUAACAUUGUAUUAUUCUUUUUUCCGCUAUUUCCCUUCAUUCAUAUUCAUAUAACCUAUCCGCAAUUUCCAUCCAAGCACUGAAUUCCAUUCUUAUCCAAACGCCUCCUUAUAUAGAGAAACGACACAACGGUACAAAAUGUCCAGCCAUCAUAGCUGGUGGAUACCAACAAAGCACUAUUCUCUCCCUCUCUCUCUAUAUUUAUACGCUAUAGGUUUCGGCUUUGUUUAUUGAUUUGAGGUAUUGAAAUGGCUGGGAGGGAGGAGAAGGAGAAGGCGGUGUUCGAUGUGGAUGCAGCCAGUGCUUUGGUGAAUGAGCUGAGAUGCACUUUCGCUUCUGGUAAGACUCGGAGCUAUGAAUGGAGAGUUACUCAGUUGAAAAAUAUGUUAAAGAUGUGUGAUGAGAACGAGAAAGAGAUCGCCGAGGCUCUUCGCCAGGAUCUUUCCAAGCCUGAACUCGAAUCCGUUGUUUAUGAGAUAGGCAUGCUGAAGAACUCGUGCAGAGUGGCGCUUAAAGAAGUGAAACAUUGGAUUGUGCCAGAAAAGGCAAAGACCUCAUUAACCACUUUUCCAUCAUCGGCUGAAAUUUUGUCAGAACCUCUGGGUGUUGUUUUAAUAAUUUCAGCAUGGAAUUAUCCUUUUUGUAUGUUGAUAUCCUGGUGACUAUUUCUAUGUGUUAUUUUCUCCAUCCUUAUAUUUAUCUGUCAAAUUUUACAAUAUUGAUUGCAAUUUCAUUCUCUUAUGACUUAUUACUUUUGCAGUGUUGUCUCUUGAUCCACUUGUUGGAGCUAUUGCAGCUGGUAAUGCUGUGGUAUUAAAACCAUCAGAAAUUGCUCCAGCCUCAUCCUCAUUGCUUUCAAAACUACUUGUGAAAUAUUUGGAUAGCUCUGCCAUAAGGGUUAUUGAGGGGGCUGUUGCUGAAACGUCUGCCUUGCUGGAGCAAAAGUGGGAAAAAAUAUUUUAUACAGGCAAUGGAAGAGUGGCACGUAUUGUGAUGGCUGCUGCUGCAAAGCACCUGACACCGGUUGUUUUGGAACUUGGGGGAAAAUCUCCUGUUGUCAUUGAUGCAGGCAUCAAUUUACAGGUUGCAACUAGGCGGAUAAUUGCAGGAAAGUGGGGGUGUAACAAUGGACAAGCGUGCGUUUCUCCUGAUUACAUUAUAACAACGAAAGAUUAUGCUCCAGAACUGGUGGAUACACUGAAAAACGAACUAGAGAGAUUUUAUGGAAAGACUCCAUUGGAAUCAAAAGACUUGUCCCGAAUUGUGAAUUCUAACCAUUUUACUCGUUUGACUAAGCUACUGGAUGAGGAUAAGGUUUCUGGUAAUAUUGUCCAUGGAGGUGAAAGAGACAAAGAAAGCCUGAAAAUUGCUCCCACCAUCUUGCUGGAUGUCCCACAAGACUCUCUAAUAAUGAAUGAGGAGAUAUUUGGUCCGUUGCUUCCUAUUAUAUUGGUGAACAAAAUCGAAGAGAGUUUUGAUUUGAUAAACUCAGGAACAAAGCCACUUGCAGCUUAUUUAUUCUCCAAUAAAAAGAAACUCAAGGAACAGUUCGUGAUGUCUGUCUCUGCAGGGGGUCUAGUCAUCAAUGACACUACUGUGCAUCUUGCUGUUGAUACUUUACCAUUUGGAGGUGUUGGGGAGAGUGGAAUGGGUUCAUACCAUGGAAAGUUUUCUUUUGAUGCUUUUAGCCAUAAGAAGGCAGUACUAUAUCGAAGUUUCAUUGGUGAUGCAGCCAUAAGGUAUCCACCAUAUACCACAGAGAAGGUAAGAUUGAUGAAGGCCUUAAUCGGUGGUGGCAUAUGGAACAUUAUCCAAGCUUUGCUUGGCUGGGGCAAGGCUUGAGAAGAAUAUGUGGUUGUUCGUGUAAGUUUAAGAUACUCGACCCUUGUAAAUUGUUGUUCUUGUACAAUUUAAAUUGGAUUAAGAUUGAUGGGUUGCAACAAUGGAAAAGGAAUGUUGCAUAAGUAUUUAAUAUCUUCUGAUGAGUGUGUUGAUUUGCUCAGAAAUUUGAGAUUAUUUAGACCUGUUGUGGGGUCUAGAUUCAGUCUCUAUUGACCAUCUUUUACAUGUGCUUAUCUACACGAGUGCACUUGAUUUCAUUUCACAAAUAUUUUUAGA